This 253-nucleotide ribosomal RNA is filed under the name uncultured bacterium. RNAcentral's name for it is "partial 16S ribosomal RNA". It matches the Rfam family "Bacterial small subunit ribosomal RNA", at positions 524 to 776 of the family's 1533-position model. The record is from RNAcentral.
UACGAGGGGUGCAAGCGUUGCUCGGAAUCAUUGGGCGUAAAGGGUAUGUAGGUGGUCUGAUUUGUCAGGGGUGAAAGCCUUGGGCUUAACCUGAGAAGUGCCCCUGAAACGGUCAGACUGGAGUCUUGGAGAGGGUCGUGGAAUUCCCGGUGUAGCGGUGAAAUGCGUAGAGAUCGGGAGGAACACCAGAGGCGAAGGCGGCGACCUGGACAAGCACUGACACUCAACUACGAAAGCGUGGGGAGCAAACAGG